GACGAACGCUGGCGGCGUGCCUAACACAUGCAAGUCGAACGGAGUGUUUAUUUAUAAACACUUAGUGGCGAACGGGUGAGUAACGCGUAGACAACCUACCCUCUAGAUGGGGACAACACCGCGAAAGUGGUGCUAAUACCGAAUGUUGUAAUGUUGUUGCAUAAUGAUAUUACUAAAGGUGGCCUCUAUAUAAAAGCUACCGCUAGAAGAUGGGUCUGCGUCUGAUUAGCUAGUUGGUGAGAUAACAGCUCACCAAGGCAAUGAUCAGUAGCCGGUCUAAGAGGAUGGACGGCCACACUGGGACUGAGACGCGGCCCGGCCUCCUACGGGAGGCAGAAGUGGGGAAUGUUCCGCAAUGGACGAAAGUCUGACGGAGCAACGCCGCGUGAGUGAAGAAGGUUUUCGGAUCGUAAAGCUCUGUCUUCAAGGACGAAUGUAGAUAUUGUGAAUAAUGAUAUUUAAUGACGGUACUUGAGGAGGAAGCCACGGCUAACUACGUGCCAGCAGCCGCCGUAA
RNAcentral lists this ribosomal RNA (516 nucleotides) under uncultured bacterium. RNAcentral's name for it is "partial 16S ribosomal RNA". It matches the Rfam family "Bacterial small subunit ribosomal RNA", at positions 28 to 523 of the family's 1533-position model. The record is from RNAcentral.